This 377-nucleotide ribosomal RNA is filed under the name uncultured bacterium. RNAcentral's name for it is "bacterial SSU rRNA". It matches the Rfam family "Bacterial small subunit ribosomal RNA", at positions 521 to 896 of the family's 1533-position model. The record is from RNAcentral.
UAAUACGGAGGGGGCGAGCGUUGUCCGAAUUUAUUGGGCGUAAAGCGCGUGUAGGCGGAUUGUCAAGCCUUUGGUGAAAGGCUGGGGCUCAACCCCAGGAGUGCCGAAGGGACUGACAGUCUGGAGGCAGGCAGAGGAGAGUGGAAUUCCUGGUGUAGCGGUGGAAUGCGUAGAGAUCAGGAAGAACACCCAUGGCGAAGGCAGCUCUCUGGGCCUGUACUGACGCUGAGACGCGAAAGCGUGGGGAGCGAACGGGAUUAGAUACCCCGGUAGUCCACGCCGUAAACGAUGGAUGCUCGGUGUCGGGGGUAUCGACCCCCUCGGCGCCCAAGGUAACCCGGUAAGCAUCCCGCCUGGGGAGUACGGCCGCAAGGUUG